AGCACCUUAACCUUAUGAAAGAUAUCAAUUUCAGGUAAAAAUCAAGUGUCAUGCAGGACAAUACUUUAAAAUUAUUUUUUAAACUAUCAUAGUGGGUGAGUCAUCAAACCAAAGCCAUAGAACACUACAGUCAAAUAUGCCCUCAAAUUGAAUUUGCGGAUACUUCAGGUUUUUUAUAGACUACUCGUUGCUUAUGGGUUUUUUUCACAAUUAUUACUGCUACCAUAGUAUUAUCUUUUGUUGUGUAUUUAACUCUGGUUAAUAUCUAUUACAUUAUAGGUUUUGUAACUAUAUCCCCCCUUUUUUCCCUUGCAACGUACCCCAAACUUCAAAAGUAUUCCAUAUAAAAAAAAGAAGAUGUGAUAUGAUUGCAAAUGAGACAACUCUCCAAAUGAGACCAAAUGAGACAUAAAACAAUUAUAGGUCCCGUACGGGCUUCAACAAUGAGUAAAAUUCAUACUGCAUAGUCUUCAAUUCCCGAAAUGAAUAAUGUAAAACAAACAAAAAAUCUAACGACCUGAUUAAUGUACAAAAUAAAUAAGAAACAAACAAAUAUAGUAUAUAGAAACAAACGACAAACACUGCAUUACCGUCUCGUGACUUGAAACAGACACAUACAGAUAGUGGCGGGGUUUAACUUUUUUAAGGGCACGCCAACACUCCCCUAACUUCGGGACUGGAACCGUGUGUACCAGUGCAACAAGCUUUAUACCAAAUCAACCGUUAUCUCCAUCAUCUUCAUUUUCAUCAACCGUCACAAGACAUGUUUUAAUAUUUCUACACAUUUCACUCAUGGCCACAGGUCUGCACAUGAAAGGUUCUGCUCAAAGCAAACACGUUAUUUUGAGUUUUUC
Molecule: long non-coding RNA, 854 nt
Filed under: Mytilus galloprovincialis (Mediterranean mussel)
Lineage: Eukaryota; Metazoa; Mollusca; Bivalvia; Mytilida; Mytilidae
Source: RNAcentral